Molecule: ribosomal RNA, 358 nt
Filed under: uncultured Thiobacillus sp.
Lineage: Bacteria; Pseudomonadati; Pseudomonadota; Betaproteobacteria; Nitrosomonadales; Thiobacillaceae
Description: bacterial SSU rRNA
Rfam family: Bacterial small subunit ribosomal RNA
Source: RNAcentral
AAGAGGAGCCUGGAGACAGGUGCUGCAUGGCUGUCGUCAGCUCGUGUCGUGAGAUGUUGGGUUAAGUCCCGCAACGAGCGCAACCCUUAUCAUUAGUUGCUACGCAAGGGCACUCUAAUGAGACUGCCGGUGACAAACCGGAGGAAGGUGGGGAUGACGUCAAGUCCUCAUGGCCCUUAUGGGUAGGGCUUCACACGUCAUACAAUGGUCGGUACAGAGGGUUGCCAAGCCGCGAGGUGGAGCCAAUCCCAGAAAGCCGAUCGUAGUCCGGAUUGUUCUCUGCAACUCGAGAGCAUGAAGUCGGAAUCGCUAGUAAUCGCGGAUCAGCAUGUCGCGGUGAAUACGUUCCCGGGUCCUU